AUUGAACGCUGGCGGCAUGCUUUACACAUGCAAGUCGAACGGUAACAGGCCUUCGGGUGCUGACGAGUGGCGGACGGGUGAGUAAUGCAUCGGAACGUGCCCAGAGGUGGGGGAUAACGCAGCGAAAGCUGUGCUAAUACCGCAUGUGAUCUGAGGAUGAACUCGGGGGACCGGGCAGCAAUGUUUGGCCUCGCGCCUUUGGACCGGCCGAUGUCCGAUUAGGUAGUUGGUGGGGUAAAGGCCUACCAAGCCGACGAUCUGUAGCUGGUCUGAGAGGACGACAAGCCACACUGGGACUGAGACACGGCCCAGACUCCUACGGGAGGCAGCAGUGGGGAAUUUUGGACAAUGGGCGCGAGCCUGAUCCAGCAAUGCCGCGUGCGGGAAGAAGGCCUUCGGGUUGUAAACCGCUUUUGUACGGAACGAAAAGGCUCUGGCUAAUACCUGGGGUUGAUGACGGUACCGUAAGAAUAAGCACCGGCUAACUACGUG
RNAcentral lists this ribosomal RNA (492 nucleotides) under uncultured bacterium. RNAcentral's name for it is "partial 16S ribosomal RNA". It matches the Rfam family "Bacterial small subunit ribosomal RNA", at positions 30 to 507 of the family's 1533-position model. The record is from RNAcentral.